Molecule: long non-coding RNA, 407 nt
Filed under: Homo sapiens (human)
Lineage: Eukaryota; Metazoa; Chordata; Mammalia; Primates; Hominidae
Description: non-protein coding lnc-FNDC5-1:1
Source: RNAcentral
GUGCAUCAGAAACCAGCACACCAGAGCACCAGGGCGGGGGGCUUCUCCGCAGCAAGGGACAAGAGCUUGGCUUAUUUAGGCUACAGCCCUGCUGCUGCUCCCUUCCUUCUUCUGUCCUGUUUCCAGCCUUGCAAGAAGGCUAUUCACAAUUAGGCCUGGCUGCUUCUCUCAUUUUUUUCCUCCCAGUUUCCAAACAAGCCCUCAGUGAACAUCAUUGAAGCGUGACUGCCUGUCUGCAGGGAGAAGGAUUCCAUUUUUCUUCUCAGCUGGUCCCCAGGCCCACGGGCACAGGGAGAGGGACAACUGCAGCAGUGGGGAGGAGGCACAGCUAGCUGCACAGUUCUCUCUUCUCCUUGUCCUAGUCAGAUGAAGGAGGCUGCACUACAAACCCAAAUUCUGCAAAAAAA